CAUAUACUCCCUUUGUCCGAAAAUACUCGUCAUAAGAAUGGAUGUAUCUAGAUGUAUUUUAAUUUUAGAUACAUUCAUUUUUUAUUCAUUUGUGCGACAAGUAAUUCCGGACGAAGGGAGUAAUAU
RNAcentral lists this microRNA precursor (126 nucleotides) under Hordeum vulgare. Its description in RNAcentral is "microRNA MIR1122". It matches the Rfam family "MIR1120/MIR1122 microRNA precursor family". Lineage: Eukaryota; Viridiplantae; Streptophyta; Magnoliopsida; Poales; Poaceae. The record is from RNAcentral.